UCGCCGCAGUCGGCACAAAGCGAGGAUGAAGCUCUACGAACCACCGCUGUAGAGUCAUCGACUUGUGAGCACCAGAAGGGUGGUAGAACACAACAAAGGUUGCUGAUCCGAAGACUAUGGCUGCAGAGGCCCUCUUGCUUGAAGCCCAUCCACCGCAGCAUCACAUGUGACAAGCAUGCUGGCGAAACUAUUGCGAAUGUUGUCACCU
Molecule: long non-coding RNA, 208 nt
Organism: Setaria italica (foxtail millet)
Lineage: Eukaryota; Viridiplantae; Streptophyta; Magnoliopsida; Poales; Poaceae
Exons: 3
Source: RefSeq, a predicted model, not a curated record